Molecule: ribosomal RNA, 420 nt
Filed under: Fusobacteriota bacterium
Lineage: Bacteria; Fusobacteriati; Fusobacteriota
Description: Fusobacteria bacterium partial 16S ribosomal RNA
Rfam family: Bacterial small subunit ribosomal RNA
Source: RNAcentral
UGGGGGAUAUUGCACAAUGGGCGAAAGCCUGAUGCAGCGACGCCGCGUGGGGGAUGAAGGUCUUCGGGUUGUAAACUUCUUUUGCUCUGAACAAGGCAUGCCUUUGGGGUGUGUUGAGUGUAGGGGUUGAUUAGCGCCGGCUAACUACGUGCCAGCAGCCGCGGUAAUACGUAGGGCGCGAGCGUUGUCCGGAAUUAUUGGGCGUAAAGGGCUUGUAGGUGGCUGGUUGCGUCUGUCGUGAAAGCUCAUGGCUUAACUGUGGGUUUGCGGUGGGUACGGGCUGGCUUGAGUGCAGUAGGGGAGGCUGGAAUUCCUGGUGUAGCGGUGGAAUGCGCAGAUAUCAGGAGGAAUACCGGUGGCGAAGGCGGGUCUCUGGGCUGUUACUGACGCUGAGGAGCGAAAGCGUGGGGAGCGAACAGG